AACGCACAUUGCGCCCUGCGGCAUUCCGCAGGGCAUGCCUGUUUGAGCGUCAUUUCACUCUCAAGCCGCUGGCUUGGUGAUGAGUUUGCUCGGCUUACUUGAAAGACAUGGCUGCAUUUGUAUAGGGACAACCAUUUCAGACGCAGACACCAAGUUUGACCUCAAAUCAGGUAGGACUACCCGCUGAACUUAA
RNAcentral lists this unclassified non-coding RNA (193 nucleotides) under uncultured Saccharomycetales. RNAcentral's name for it is "sequence contains 5.8S rRNA gene, ITS2, 28S rRNA gene". The stretch from base 1 to 52 matches the Rfam family "5.8S ribosomal RNA", at positions 103 to 154 of the family's 154-position model. The record is from RNAcentral. Lineage: Eukaryota; Fungi; Ascomycota; Saccharomycetes.